GAUGAACGCUGGCGGCGUGCCUAACACAUGCAAGUCGAACGGACUUACAUUGAAGCCUAGCGAUAUGUAAGUUAGUGGCGGACGGGUGAGUAACGCGUGGGUAACCUGCCUUGUACUGGGGGACAACAGUUGGAAACGACUGCUAAUACCGCAUAAGCGCACAGCUUCGCAUGAAGCAGUGUGAAAACUCCGGUGGUACAAGAUGGACCCGCGUCUGAUUAGCUGGUUGGUGAGGUAACGGCCCACCAAGGCGACGAUCAGUAGCCGGCCUGAGAGGGUGAACGGCCACAUUGGGACUGAGACACGGCCCAAACUCCUACGGGAGGCAGCAGUGGGGAAUAUUGCACAAUGGGGGAAACCCUGAUGCAGCAACGCCGCGUGAGUGAAGAAGUAUUUCGGUAUGUAAAACUCUAUCAGCAGGGAAGAUAAUGACGGUACCUGACUAAGAAGCACCGGCUAAAUACGUG
This 467-nucleotide ribosomal RNA is filed under the name uncultured bacterium. RNAcentral's name for it is "bacterial SSU rRNA". It matches the Rfam family "Bacterial small subunit ribosomal RNA", at positions 28 to 507 of the family's 1533-position model. The record is from RNAcentral.